Molecule: ribosomal RNA, 253 nt
Filed under: uncultured bacterium
Lineage: Bacteria
Description: partial 16S ribosomal RNA
Rfam family: Bacterial small subunit ribosomal RNA
Source: RNAcentral
UACGUAGGGUGCGAGCGUUAAUCGGAAUUACUGGGCGUAAAGUGUGCGCAGGCGGCCGCGCAAGUCGAGUGUGAAAGCCCCGAGCUUAACUUGGGAAUUGCGCUCGAAACUACGUGGCUGGAGUGUGGCAGAGGAAGGUGGAAUUCCAGGUGUAGCGGUGAAAUGCGCAGAUAUCGGGAAGAACACCUAUGGCGAAGGCAGCUCUCUGGGACGGUACUGACGCUGAGACGCGAAAGCGUGGGGAGCGAACGGG